GAGUUUGAUCGUGGCUCAGGAUGAACGCUGGCGGCGUGCCUAAUACAUGCAAGUCGAGCGAACAGACGAGGAGCUUGCUCCUCUGACGUUAGCGGCGGACGGGUGAGUAACACGUGGAUAACCUACCUAUAAGACUGGGAUAACUUCGGGAAACCGGAGCUAAUACCGAAUAAUAUAUUGAACCGCAUGGUUCAAUAGUGAAAAACGGUUUUGCUGUCACUUAUAGAUGGAUCCGCGCCGCAUUAGCUAGUUGGUAGGGUAACGGGCUUACCAAGGCGACGAUGCGUAGCCGACCUGAGAGGGUGAUCGGCCACACUGGAACUGAGACACGGUCCAGACUCCUACGGGAGGCAGCAGUAGGGAAUCUUCCGCAAUGGGCGAAAGCCUGACGGAGCAACGCCGCGUGAGUGAUGAAGGUCUUCGGAUCGUAAAACUCUGUUAUUAGGGAAGAACAAAUGUGUAAGUAACUAUGCACGUCUUGACGGUACCUAAUCAGAAAGCCACGGCUAACUACGUGCCAGCACG
This 525-nucleotide ribosomal RNA is filed under the name uncultured microorganism. RNAcentral's name for it is "bacterial SSU rRNA". It matches the Rfam family "Bacterial small subunit ribosomal RNA", at positions 9 to 515 of the family's 1533-position model. The record is from RNAcentral.